This 371-nucleotide ribosomal RNA is filed under the name uncultured bacterium. Its description in RNAcentral is "bacterial SSU rRNA". It matches the Rfam family "Bacterial small subunit ribosomal RNA", at positions 525 to 896 of the family's 1533-position model. The record is from RNAcentral.
ACGUAGGGUGCGAGCGUUAAUCGGAAUUACUGGGCGUAAAGCGUGCGCAGGCGGUUUUGUAAGACAGGCGUGAAAUCCCCGAGCUUAACUUGGGAAUGGCGUCUGUGACUGCAAGGCUAGAGUGUGUUAGAGGGGGGUGGAAUUCCGCGUGUAGCAGUGAAAUGCGUAGAGAUGCGGAGGAACACCGAUGGCGAAGGCAGCCCCCUGGAGCAAUACUGACGCUCAUGCACGAAAGCGUGGGGAGCAAACAGGAUUAGAUACCCUGGUAGUCCACGCCCUAAACGAUGUCUACUAGUUGUUGGGUCUUAAUUGACUCAGUAACGCAGCUAACGCGUGAAGUAGACCGCCUGGGGAGUACGGUCGCAAGAUUA